UACUGAUUUGAUAUUAUUUUCUUUUAAGGGUUUUAUAUCUUUUUAAUUAUUAUUAUAUGGUUUAAUAAUUAUAAUAUUAUUAAUACAAAAAAGGUUUUAUAAUUUAAAUUAUUAUUUAAAACGAGAAUUAGAUACUCUCUUAUUAAUAAUUUAAAUUUUUAAUUCUCUCAGUUUUAACUGAAAUAAUUUGGCAGUUAAUGAUAUUUUUCUGGGGAAUCGUGUAAUUUAAUAGAUGGUCCACUUAUUAAUUUACUUUUAUUAUGUAUGUUAGUGUAUAUCCGGUUAUUUAUAAAAAUUUUAUAAUUUUUGUUUAAUGUUUUAUUUAAUCCAGGUCAAUAUGCUGCUGAUAUAGAAGUUAUUAUGCGAGGCAUUAAAAAUUUUAUAAUUUGUGAUAAUUGUAAUAUUUAGGACUCAGUAGUACUAUGGAAUAGUGAGUCCGUGAGAAUUAAAUUUAAUUAAGGUA
This 463-nucleotide ribosomal RNA is filed under the name Pseudodiplorchis americanus. RNAcentral describes it as "partial 12S ribosomal RNA". The record is from RNAcentral. Lineage: Eukaryota; Metazoa; Platyhelminthes; Monogenea; Polystomatidea; Polystomatidae.